CAAUAGCGUAUAUUAAAGUUGUUGCAGUUAAAAAGCUCGUAGUUGGACCUUGGACCUGGACAGGCGGUCCGCCUCACGGCGUGUACUGUCUUGCUGGGUCUUUCCUCUUGGUGAUCUGUUGUUUCGGCAGCAGGGAACCAGGACUCUUACUUUGAAAAAAUUAGAGUGUUCAAAGCAGGCUCGACGCCGGAAUAUAUUAGCAUGGAAUAAUAAAAUAGGACGUGCGGUUCUAUUUUGUUGGUUUUUGGAAUCGCCGUAAUGAUUAAUAGGGACAGUCGGGGGCAUUAGUACUCACAUGCUAGAGGUGAAAUUCUUGGAUUUUGUGAAGACUAACUUCUGCGAAAGCAUUUGCCAAGGAUGUUUUCAUUAA
Molecule: ribosomal RNA, 370 nt
Filed under: uncultured eukaryote
Lineage: Eukaryota
Description: partial 18S ribosomal RNA
Rfam family: Eukaryotic small subunit ribosomal RNA
Source: RNAcentral